CACCACCAAUUAUUUUAUCAAGAGAUAAAAUAGAAACAUACAAUGUAUGCAAAAAUAUCUAAACAAAGAAAAUGGGUAAUACAGAUGAAGUGUUGCAACCACCUGCAAUGGCUCCAUAUCUUCCUACACAUCGUUUACAUAACCGACGUUAUGGUAUCGAUGGCAAGAUCAUGGCAGCUGUUGUCAUUACUGUUUUCUCCUGCUUUCUUUUCUUCCUCGUUCUUGCCCCUCGGCUGAUGAGGCUAAGAAGAAGUAGCAGAAAUUCUUCACCAGCUGACCGAAUUUAGGCAACGCGUAAUGAAGGAACUAGAAGCAUGAAAACAUACCAUGAUUUUCACACACUUAACACUCAGAGUCACACAGACAGAUAGAACAGACAGAUUACCAAUUCAUUUGUUCUUCAUAUCCCAUGGUUGUAACUUUUAUGAGAAAACUAAAGUUCCCACCAAGACGGAUGUAAGCGGAACCAUGAGGUUGUCAUCAAACGUAGUGCUUAUAGGAUGGGAUUCAACCAAUGCACUGGCAAUCGAGAUAACCAAAAAGCCGAAGAUCAUUUGCCAACUUUCUUCUAAAUAGCCAAACAUGGAGAAAUAAUGCAUGUACCUGUGAGCAAUAUUCUAUCAGAACUUAUCAAUGCUUAAAAUAAUAGACUUCCAUUCUUUCAGGAAA
Molecule: long non-coding RNA, 669 nt
Organism: Erigeron canadensis
Lineage: Eukaryota; Viridiplantae; Streptophyta; Magnoliopsida; Asterales; Asteraceae
Exons: 2
Source: RefSeq, a predicted model, not a curated record